ACUGUUUCGGCUAGGGGGCCAUCCCGGCUUACCAACCCGAUGCAAACUGCGAAUACCGGAGAAUGUUAUCACGGGAGACACACGGCGGGUGCUAACGUCCGUCGUGAAGAGGGAAACAACCCAGACCGCCAGCUAAGGUCCCAAAGUCAUGGUUAAGUGGGAAACGAUGUGGGAAGGCCCAGACAGCCAGGAUGUUGGCUUAGAAGCAGCCAUCAUUUAAAGAAAGCGUAAUAGCUCACUGGUCGAGUCGGCCUGCGCGGAAGAUGUAACGGGGCUAAACCAUG
Molecule: ribosomal RNA, 284 nt
Filed under: Salmonella enterica
Lineage: Bacteria; Pseudomonadati; Pseudomonadota; Gammaproteobacteria; Enterobacterales; Enterobacteriaceae
Description: partial 23S ribosomal RNA
Rfam family: Bacterial large subunit ribosomal RNA
Source: RNAcentral